RNAcentral lists this transfer RNA (74 nucleotides) under Myceligenerans xiligouense. It matches the Rfam family "tRNA". From Rfam's summary of the family: Transfer RNA (tRNA) molecules are approximately 80 nucleotides in length. Their secondary structure includes four short double-helical elements and three loops (D, anti-codon, and T loops). Further hydrogen bonds mediate the characteristic L-shaped molecular structure. tRNAs have two regions of fundamental functional importance: the anti-codon, which is responsible for specific mRNA codon recognition, and the 3' end, to which the tRNAs corresponding amino acid is attached (by aminoacyl-tRNA synthetases). tRNAs cope with the degeneracy of the genetic code in two manners: having more than one tRNA (with a specific anti-codon) for a particular amino acid; and 'wobble' base-pairing, i.e. permitting non-standard base-pairing at the 3rd anti-codon position. RNAcentral also lists the same sequence under 3 other names. Lineage: Bacteria; Bacillati; Actinomycetota; Actinomycetes; Micrococcales; Promicromonosporaceae. The record is from Rfam by way of RNAcentral.
GGCGGGGUAGCUCAGAUGGUCAGAGCGCACGACUCAUAAUCGUGAGGUCGCGGGUUCGAUCCCCGCCCUCGCUA